RNAcentral lists this ribosomal RNA (809 nucleotides) under Calvittacus swidanus. Its description in RNAcentral is "bacterial SSU rRNA". It matches the Rfam family "Eukaryotic small subunit ribosomal RNA", at positions 389 to 910 of the family's 1831-position model. Lineage: Eukaryota; Metazoa; Arthropoda; Arachnida; Trombidiformes; Eriophyidae. The record is from RNAcentral.
ACAAGCUGAGAAACGGCUAGUAGGACUAAGGUCUGCAGCAGGCGCGAAACUUACACAAUGCUAGAUUUCAACUUGGCGAUGUAGUGAAGAAAAAUAACGAUGUACUUCUAUUUAAACAUAGUAGUACAAUUGGAAUGAGACGACUCUAAACCAGUCAGUCGAGUAACAAAUGGAGGGCAAGUCUGGUGCCAGCAGCCGCGGUAAUUCCAGCUCCAUUAGCAUACAUUAAAGUUGUUGCGGUUAAAAAGCUCGUAGUUGAAUUUUUAGCGGGCUCUAUUGGGAUGCAAUCGUUAAGGUUUCUUUAUUAACGUCAUGUUAUAAUUAAACUGGUUGUAUUUUCCCUAUAGGAACCCGUUGUUUCGUCACUUAAUCGAGUGCGAAGCGGGCUGAUAUUUGGAAAUUGAUAUUUAUUUAUCACAUUUUUGAUAGCAGCAUGUUUACCUUGAGAAAAUUAGAGUGCUCACAGCAGGCAGUUGGGGUGUAAAAGCUCCUUUAUGCUUGAAUAAUGUUGCAUGGAAUAAUAGAAUACGGCCUCGGUUCUAUUCUGUUGGUCUUAUAGAACAACAAAUAAGUUGAUUAAAGCGAUCAAAAGUUUACUUUAAACGUGGCCUCGUUUAGCCUAUGAAUUCAAAUUAUCUUGAAUCCUGUUGUCUGGGGCCUUAAAAUCUCAGUACCUAAUUUAAAAUAAAAAUUGGUUCCUAAAGUUAACUUGGUCAUUUAAAGCGUUUCUAGUACAACUAGCUUUCUAAUCAACUGAGGCAAUGGUUAAAAGAAAUAGUUGCGGCGGCAUCAGUACUGCAUCGUGAGAG